Molecule: ribosomal RNA, 459 nt
Filed under: uncultured bacterium
Lineage: Bacteria
Description: bacterial SSU rRNA
Rfam family: Bacterial small subunit ribosomal RNA
Source: RNAcentral
AAUCAACGCUGGCGGCGUGCCUCAGACAUGCAAGUCGAACGAUUAAAGCUCUCUUCGGAGAGUGCAUAAAGUGGCGCACGGGUGAGUAACACGUAAGUAAUCUACCUUUGAGUGGGGAUAACAGUCGGAAACGGCUGCUAAUACCGCAUAAUGCAGCGGCACCGCAAGGUGACAGUUGUUAAAGGAGCAAUCCGCUUAAAGAGGAGCUUGCGGCAGAUUAGCUAGUUGGUAAGGUAAUGGCUUACCAAGGCUACGAUCUGUAACCGGUCUUAGAGGACGGUCGGUCACACUGACACUGAAUAACGGGUCAGACUCCUACGGGAGGCAGCAGUCGGGAAUUUUGGGCAAUGGGCGAAAGCCUGACCCAGCAACGCCGCGUGAAGGAUGAAGUAUUUCGGUAUGUAAACUUCGAAAGAAUAGGAAGAAUUAAUGACGGUACUAUUUAUAAGGUCCGGCUAA